Molecule: ribosomal RNA, 917 nt
Filed under: sediment metagenome
Description: bacterial SSU rRNA
Rfam family: Bacterial small subunit ribosomal RNA
Source: RNAcentral
GUGGUGAAAUCCUACAGCUUAACUGUAGAACUGCCAUUGAAACUGUCGUUCUUGAGUACAGUUGAGGUGGGUGGAAUGUGUCAUGUAGCGGUGAAAUGCAUAGAUAUGACACAGAACACCGAUAGCGAAGGCAGCCCACCAAACUGUAACUGACGCUCAGGCACGAAAGCGUGGGGAGCAAACAGGAUUAGAUACCCUGGUAGUCCACGCUGUAAACGAUGAUCACUCGAUGUUGGCAAUACACCGUCAGCGUCUUAGCGAAAGCUUUAAGUGAUCCACCUGGGGAGUACGAUCGCAAGGUUGAAACUCAAAGGAAUUGACGGGGGCCCGCACAAGCGGAGGAGCAUGUGGUUUAAUUCGAUGAUACGCGAGGAACCUUACCUGGGCUUAAAUGUAGAAUGACAUCCCGAGAAAUCGGGCUUUCCUUCGGGACAUUUUACAAGGUGCUGCAUGGUUGUCGUCAGCUCGUGCCGUGAGGUGUCGGGUUAAGUCCCAUAACGAGCGCAACCCCUAUUCUUAGUUACCAUCAGAUAAUGCUGGGGACUCUAAGGAAACUGCCUACGCAAGUAGUGAGGAAGGUGGGGAUGACGUCAAAUCAGCACGGCCCUUAUGUCCAGGGCUACACACGUGCUACAAUGGUCGGUACAGAGGGUCGCUACCUGGUGACAGGAUGCUAAUCUCGAAAACCGGUCUCAGUCCGGAUCGAAGUCUGCAACUCGACUUCGUGAAGUUGGAUUCGCUAGUAAUCGCAUAUCAGCAAUGGUGCGGUGAAUACGUUCCCGGGCCUUGUACACACCGCCCGUCAAGCCAUGGAAGCUGGGGGUACCUGAAGUCCGUGACCGCAAGGAGCGGCCUAAGGUAAAACUAGUGACUGGGGCUAAGUCGUAACAAGGUAGCCGUACCGGAAGGUGUGGCUG